AGAAUCAACGCUGGCGGCGUGCCUAACACAUGCAAGUUGAACGAGAAAGUGGAGCAAUCCAUGAGUAAAGUGGCGCACGGGUGAGUAACACGUGACUAACCUACCCUUGAGUGGGGAAUAACCUAGGGAAACCUGGGCUAAUACCGCAUAACACCUACGGGUCAAAGGAGCAAUUCGCUUAAGGAGGGGGUCGCGGCAGAUUAGCUAGUUGGCGGGGUAAUGGCCCACCAAGGCAGUGAUCUGUA
RNAcentral lists this ribosomal RNA (245 nucleotides) under uncultured bacterium. Its description in RNAcentral is "partial small subunit ribosomal RNA". It matches the Rfam family "Bacterial small subunit ribosomal RNA", at positions 26 to 285 of the family's 1533-position model. The record is from RNAcentral.